AUACAUGCAAGUCGAGCGGACAGAAGGGAGCUUGCUCCCGGAUGUUAGCGGCGGACGGGUGAGUAACACGUGGGUAACCUGCCUGUAAGACUGGGAUAACUCCGGGAAACCGGAGCUAAUACCGGAUAGUUCCUUGAACCGCAUGGUUCAAGGAUGAAAGACGGUUUCGGCUGUCACUUACAGAUGGACCCGCGGCGCAUUAGCUAGUUGGUGAGGUAACGGCUCACCAAGGCGACGAUGCGUAGCCGACCUGAGAGGGUGAUCGGCCACACUGGGACUGAGACACGGCCCAGACUCCUACGGGAGGCAGCAGUAGGGAAUCUUCCGCAAUGGACGAAAGUCUGACGGAGCAACGCCGCGUGAGUGAUGAAGGUUUUCGGAUCGUAAAGCUCUGUUGUUAGGGAAGAACAAGUGCAAGAGUAACUGCUUGCACCUUGACGGUACCUAACCAGAAAGCCACGGCUAACUACGUGCCAGCAGCCGCGGUAAUACGUAGGUGGCAAGCGUUGUCCGGAAUUAUUGGGCGUAAAGGGCUCGCAGGCGGUUUCUUAAGUCUGAUGUGAAAGCCCCCGGCUCAACCGGGGAGGGUCAUUGGAAACUGGGAAACUUGAGUGCAGAAGAGGAGAGUGGAAUUCCACGUGUAGCGGUGAAAUGCGUAGAGAUGUGGAGGAACACCAGUGGCGAAGGCGACUCUCUGGUCUGUAACUGACGCUGAGGAGCGAAAGCGUGGGGAGCGAACAGGAUUAGAUACCCUGGUAGUCCACGCCGUAAACGAUGAGUGCUAAGUGUUAGGGGGUUUCCGCCCCUUAGUGCUGCAGCUAACGCAUUAAGCACUCCGCCUGGGGAGUACGGUCGCAAGACUGAAACUCAAAGGAAUUGACGGGGGCCCGCACAAGCGGUGGAGCAUGUGGUUUAAUUCGAAGCAACGCGAAGAACCUUACCAGGUCUUGACAUCCUCUGACAACCCUAGAGAUAGGGCUUUCCCUUCGGGGACAGAGUGACAGGUGGUGCAUGGUUGUCGUCAGCUCGUGUCGUGAGAUGUUGGGUUAAGUCCCGCAACGAGCGCAACCCUUGAUCUUAGUUGCCAGCAUUCAGUUGGGCACUCUAAGGUGACUGCCGGUGACAAACCGGAGGAAGGUGG
Molecule: ribosomal RNA, 1141 nt
Filed under: Bacillus altitudinis
Lineage: Bacteria; Bacillati; Bacillota; Bacilli; Caryophanales; Bacillaceae
Description: bacterial SSU rRNA
Rfam family: Bacterial small subunit ribosomal RNA
Source: RNAcentral